This 253-nucleotide ribosomal RNA is filed under the name uncultured bacterium. RNAcentral describes it as "partial 16S ribosomal RNA". It matches the Rfam family "Bacterial small subunit ribosomal RNA", at positions 524 to 776 of the family's 1533-position model. The record is from RNAcentral.
UACGUAGGGACCGAGCGUUGUCCGGAAUCAUUGGGCGUAAAGAGCGUGUAGGCGGCCUUUUAAGUCCUGCGUGAAAUCUCGGGGCUCAACCCCGAGCGGUCGUGAGAAACUGGCAGGCUAGAGUGCGGGAGAGGAGAGUGGAAUUCCUGGUGUAGCGGUGAAAUGCGCAGAUAUCAGGAAGAACACCCGUGGCGAAGGCGGCUCUCUGGAACGCAACUGACGCUGAGACGCGAAAGCGUGGGGAGCAAACAGG